GACGAACGCUGGCGGCAGGCCUAACACAUGCAAGUCGAACGCCCGUAGCAAUACGGGAGUGGCAGACGGGUGAGUAACGCGUGGGAACGUGCCCUUGGUUCGGAAUAACUCAGGGAAACUUGAGCUAAUACCGGAUACGUCCGUAAGGAGAAAGAUUUAUCGCCGAAGGAUCGGCCCGCGUCGGAUUAGCUAGUUGGUGAGGUAACGGCCCACAAGGCGACGAUCCGUAGCUGGUCUGAGAGGANGAUCAGCCACACUGGGACUGAGACACGGCCCAGACUCCUACGGGAGGCAGCAGUGGGGAAUAUUGGACAAUGGGCGAAAGCCUGAUCCAGCCAUGCCGCGUGAGUGAAGAAGGCCUUAGGGUUGUAAAGCUCUUUCAGCGGGAAGAUAAUGAC
Molecule: ribosomal RNA, 398 nt
Filed under: uncultured bacterium
Lineage: Bacteria
Description: bacterial SSU rRNA
Rfam family: Bacterial small subunit ribosomal RNA
Source: RNAcentral